GACGAACGCUGGCGGCGUGCUUAACACAUGCAAGUCGAACGGAAAGGCCCUGCUUUUCUGGGGUGCUCGAGUGGCGAACGGGUGAGUAACACGUGAGUAACCUGCCCUUGACUUUGGGAUAACUUCAGGAAACUGGGGCUAAUACCGGAUAGGAGCUCCUGCUGCAUGGUGGGGGUUGGAAAGUUUCGGCGGUUGGGGAUGGACUCGCGGCUUAUCAGCUUGUUGGUGGGGUAGUGGCUUACCAAGGCUUUGACGGGUAGCCGGCCUGAGAGGGUGACCGGCCACAUUGGGACUGAGAUACGGCCCCGACUCCUACGGGAGGCAGCAGUGGGGAAUAUUGCACAAUGGGCGGAAGCCUGAUGCAGCAACGCCGCGUGCGGGAUGACGGCCUUCGGGUUGUAGACCGCUUUCGCCUGUGACGAAGCGUGAGUGACGGUAAUGGGUAAAGAAGCACCGGCUAACUACGUG
This 468-nucleotide ribosomal RNA is filed under the name uncultured bacterium. RNAcentral describes it as "partial 16S ribosomal RNA". It matches the Rfam family "Bacterial small subunit ribosomal RNA", at positions 28 to 507 of the family's 1533-position model. The record is from RNAcentral.